UGGCUGCUGGAACCGAUGGACAGGAAGGCGAUGAAACAACUGCAGAAAAGCAAAGAAGAGAACAUGUUGCUUGCUGGUAGAUCUCUGCUUUUUCUAUCGAGUUGCAACUCCUUUUAUACUUCCUCGUCCCUGUUUCGUAGGUGAAGAACCACUGCGAUUUUAACAUAUUUUCCAUUUUUGUCUGUCUUGCCACUGAUUUUUACAUGCAAAGCUACUGGGUGCGGUUCAAGGACAGCACUGUACAAAAAAAUGCGUAGACGUUCGUUGACGAUGACGGAUCCGCGCUACAGGAAAUCCUUAUUCUCACAAGUACUACAUGGAUUCACACACAGUCAUAUGGACUUCAUAAAGAAAAAAUGUCAGGUUCUCUUCCAUUGUAAAGAAUAGGAAAAAGGUUAGAGACCGGACUUGGCUCCAAAGAAGAUGCUACCAAGUGCUGUUUUCUCAUCUACUAUUUAGAAAUCUAAUUUUUUCUACGUCUUCCGUCAUUGUCACUUCAAAGGGGAAAACAGCAAUCCACUCAUUCACAUGUCGAUGACUUCCGUAAGAACGUCGGCCAGCUGGAAAACUUGUUUGAAAAAGAAAAGAUCAUUUCAAAUCAGAAAAUCUAAAAAUAAAGUUAAUUGUAGUACAGUCCAGUGACGACUUUAUUAACGAGUUCUUACAUUUUAUGAGACUAAUCGACGUUUCGUUAUUCUCCUUAUUCAGAUACAACCAAGUUAAAUCUUAAUAUCUAUGGGAUGAAUGGAAUGGGAAACGUGCGAGAUGGAACCAAAUAGGAACUGCCAUUUCAAAAUCUCGGUAAUUGGACACUGAUUCCGCUCAUUGAUUCCACUAAGUUGGAGAGAGUUUUCUAAAAAUAUUUUGCAUGUUGCUGUAUUUCAUGUGCUGGGGGCAAAGCAGCUGACAAGAAAGAGCUACAAUAAUUAAAAAUCCACACAUCGGCGAUAAAGUGCCAAGGAAACGGACCGCCUUCCUCCUACCGCUUCAAUUUCUCCUUUUUCAAGAGUUUUUGAAUACUGACCUUGUUGAAAGAGGAGAAAUCAACGUCUGCUUUUAAGAUAAUCCAUCAUAUACAGAUGGAUAAACCCGCUAGACAACAACCAGAAUAGCUGCCCGUUCUCCCUGUUUCCAUAACAAAAAAACAAGACUGAUGGUAAAAAAAAAAAAAAACAUUGGCAACAAAAGCAAAGGUAAAUCCUGAACGGGUCAUUACCUUGGGAGGAAUGAUUGAUCAAAUGGCAACAUUUGCACGAAUCUCAGUUAAUCCAUUUUCAGAUAGUUCAUUGACCCUUACAUUCCCCCCAAAUUUCACGCUCUCCAAUAGCAAAAUCCUUGACAAUUAGUCCCUCAAAUUUAGUUUUUAGUGUAAAAUUCAAUUCUUACAUCAAGUUAUUGGCCAUUGGAUGCGCUUACUCAACGUAGCGUGAUCUGAUUUAAUUGUUAACGAAAGCUUUCUUAACGUCUCGCUAAUGUCUAAAGCAAGUGUAAAAUCCAGAAAACGUUCUUAGUAUCUUUUCUCCUUUUUUUGCAAUCGGUUGAACUCGUUGGAGAUUCUAAAUUUUUAUUUAUAAUAUCCGAAUUGUUUCCAAACCUAUGAAUCCAAAUGGCGGAAUGGAUACCAUGGUGGAAGAUUGUCGUUUGAUCCGGGCUGGCUGCAGAAUUUUAUGGUCAAUAGUGUCCUGCCUUUGAAAGUUUUGACGUUAAAUCAAUUCCAGCACUGCUGUUUAAAGUUUUAUCUUUAUUUAUUAUUUUUAUUAAUCAUUUUUUAAAGCUUUGUUCAUCGGUAAACCCUUCCAUAGAAUUCAGAAUAUUGGUCUCCUGUAAAUUAGUCAUUUUUGGUUGGUUUAUGUUAAGGAUGAGUUAGCAGCGUGCCCAUAGAUUAAAGAGUUCCUUUUAAUCAAUACUGCCUUGUAAGGUAACUUCUGUUUGCACUUGGGGUUUCAAUUCAUCCCCCCAUCUUUACAAACCAAGACGUGAAGACCAUUGGUCAUUGCUCAACUGCAGUCCGGAGUGGGCCCUCAGAAAUGGGAGACCUUGGAUUGCUUUUGCAUCCUUGUCUCACCAAUUCCUUGAUCUGUAAAAGUGUAGAAAUCACAAGGUGUAAUGCGAAAUGUGAGUACGAAUCUGCUGCCGAAGAUAUUGUUUGAGACCGUUUAUUGGUAAAUAUUGAAAA
Molecule: long non-coding RNA, 2176 nt
Filed under: Daphnia magna
Lineage: Eukaryota; Metazoa; Arthropoda; Branchiopoda; Diplostraca; Daphniidae
Description: uncharacterized LOC116920782, transcript variant X4
Source: RNAcentral